GAUGAAGAACGCAGCGAAAUGCGAUACUUGGUGUGAAUUGCAGAAUCCCGUGAACCAUCGAGUCUUUGAACGCAAGUUGCGCCUCAAGCCAUUAGGUUGAGGGCACGUCUGCCUGGGCGUCACAUAUCGUUGCCUGAUGCCAGUUUCCUCGUGAUGGGUGACUGUGCAGGGCGAAUGAUGGCUUCCCGUGAGCAUUGUUGCCUCAUGGUUGGUUGAAAAUCGAGUCCUUGGUAGGGAGCGCCGUGAUAGAUGGUGGUUGAGUGACGAACGAGACCGAUCAUGUGCAUGCUCCCCAAAAUAUGGCCUCUGUGACCCACACGCGUCUUUUGACGCUCAUGACGAGACCUCAGGUCAGGCGGGGCUACCCGCUGAAUUUAAGCAUAUCAAUAAGCGGAGGA
Molecule: unclassified non-coding RNA, 398 nt
Filed under: soil metagenome
Description: partial contains 5.8S ribosomal RNA, internal transcribed spacer 2, and large subunit ribosomal RNA
Rfam family: 5.8S ribosomal RNA (bases 1-122)
Source: RNAcentral